UCAUUCACUUAAAAAAUAGAAUGUGACCACACUGUAAUUUUUAUAUUGCUUAAAAGAUUUUGCUGGGGUGUAUAAGCUGUAAGGAAAAAUUAAGAAUACAAAGAAAUGAAGAGAUG
Molecule: non-coding RNA, 116 nt
Organism: Peromyscus maniculatus bairdii (prairie deer mouse)
Lineage: Eukaryota; Metazoa; Chordata; Mammalia; Rodentia; Cricetidae
Source: RefSeq, a predicted model, not a curated record